UACGUAGGGACCGAGCGUUGUCCGGAAUCAUUGGGCGUAAAGAGCGUGUAGGCGGCUAUUUAAGUCCUGCGUGAAAUCCUGCGGCUCAACCGCAGACGGUCGUGGGAAACUGGAUGGCUAGAGUGCAGGAGAGGAGAGUGGAAUUCCCGGUGUAGCGGUGAAAUGCGCAGAUAUCGGGAAGAACACCCGUGGCGAAGGCGGCUCUCUGGAACGCAACUGACGCUGAGACGCGAAAGCGUGGGGAGCAAACAGG
RNAcentral lists this ribosomal RNA (253 nucleotides) under uncultured bacterium. RNAcentral's name for it is "partial 16S ribosomal RNA". It matches the Rfam family "Bacterial small subunit ribosomal RNA", at positions 524 to 776 of the family's 1533-position model. The record is from RNAcentral.